AAUUCUCAACUUUGAAUCGUUUGUUUACAGACUUUACGAGGCUUGGACUUUGGAGUGUGCCGGUCUCUAACGAGAUCGACUCCUCUUUAAAUGCAUUAGCUGGAACCUCUUGUGGACCAGACUACGGUGUGAUAAUUAUCUACGCUGUUGGUCUUGUGAAGCACUUUAUUGUUACGAGGUUCUGCUUCUAAUCGUCCUUUACUGCGACAAUGAGGGUUUUAUUCUUAAUUGAAUUGGCCUUUGACA
RNAcentral lists this unclassified non-coding RNA (246 nucleotides) under Typhula ishikariensis. RNAcentral describes it as "partial internal transcribed spacer 2". Lineage: Eukaryota; Fungi; Basidiomycota; Agaricomycetes; Agaricales; Typhulaceae. The record is from RNAcentral.